GCCAGACUCCUACGGGAGGCAGCAGUGGGGAAUAUUGCACAAUGGGGGAAACCCUGAUGCAGCAACGCUGCGUGAGUGAAGAAGUAUUUCGGUAUGUAAAGCUCUAUCAGCAGGGAAGAGAAUGACGGUACCUGACUAAGAAGCCCCGGCUAACUACGUGCCAGCAGCCGCGAUAAUACGUAGGGGGCGAGCGUUAUCCGGAUUUACUGGGUGUAAAGGGAGCGUAGACGGUUCUGCAAGUCUGAAGCGAAAGCCCGUGGCUUAACCGCGGAACGGCUUUGGAAACUGUGGAACUGGAGUGCUGGAGAGGCAAGCGGAAUUCCUAGUGUAGCGGUGAAAUGCGUAGAUAUUAGGAGGAACACCAGUGGCGAAGGCGACUUUCUGGACUGUACCUGACGCUGAGGCGCGAAAGCGUGGGUAGCGAACGGGAUUAGAUACCCGUGUA
Molecule: ribosomal RNA, 445 nt
Filed under: uncultured bacterium
Lineage: Bacteria
Description: bacterial SSU rRNA
Rfam family: Bacterial small subunit ribosomal RNA
Source: RNAcentral